This 264-nucleotide unclassified non-coding RNA is filed under the name Hevea brasiliensis (rubber tree). Lineage: Eukaryota; Viridiplantae; Streptophyta; Magnoliopsida; Malpighiales; Euphorbiaceae. The record is from RNAcentral.
AAAAAAAUAUUUAAAAAAUAAAAAGUAUUAUAAUUUUGACAUAAAUAAAUAAAAAUUUUAAAUAUAUUGAACAUAAACUUGCGCUUUGGAAGUGGUUACUGAUUCCUUUAACGAGUCUAGAAUUUCUGUUGCCGUCGGCGUGCGGAAAACGCAGGUAGACUUCUCCUUCUUUGAAAAUAUAAUUUAAAUGCUAUUAAAAAAGAUAAUUUAAAAAAAUUAAUAUUUUACUAUUAUUAUGAAUAAAAUUUAUUAAAUUUAAUUUUA